This 430-nucleotide ribosomal RNA is filed under the name bacterium. RNAcentral's name for it is "partial 16S ribosomal RNA". It matches the Rfam family "Bacterial small subunit ribosomal RNA", at positions 355 to 776 of the family's 1533-position model. The record is from RNAcentral.
UGGGGAAUAUUGGACAAUGGGCGCAAGCCUGAUCCAGCCAUGCCGCGUGUGUGAAGAAGGCCUUUUGGUUGUAAAGCACUUUAAGCGAGGAGGAGGCUACUUGGAUUAAUACUCUAGGAUAGUGGACGUUACUCGCAGAAUAAGCACCGGCUAACUCUGUGCCAGCAGCCGCGGUAAUACAGAGGGUGCGAGCGUUAAUCGGAUUUACUGGGCGUAAAGCGUGCGUAGGCGGCUUCUUAAGUCGGAUGUGAAAUCCCUGAGCUUAACUUAGGAAUUGCAUUCGAUACUGGGAAGCUAGAGUAUGGGAGAGGAUGGUAGAAUUCCAGGUGUAGCGGUGAAAUGCGUAGAGAUAUGGAGGAAUACCGAUGGCGAAGGCAGCCAUCUGGCCUAAUACUGACGCUGAGGUACGAAAGCAUGGGGAGCAAACAGG